UACGUAGGUCCCGAGCGUUGUCCGGAUUUAUUGGGCGUAAAGCGAGCGCAGGUGGUUUAUUAAGUCUGGUGUAAAAGGCAGUGGCUCAACCGUUGUAUGCAUUGGAAACUGGUAGACUUGAGUGCAGGGGAGGAGAGUGGAAUUCCAUGUGUAGCGGUGAAAUGCGUAGAUAUAUGGAGGAACACCGGUGGCGAAAGCGGCUCUCUGGCCUGUAACUGACACUGAGGCUCGAAAGCGUGAGGAGCAAACAGG
This 252-nucleotide ribosomal RNA is filed under the name uncultured bacterium. RNAcentral's name for it is "partial 16S ribosomal RNA". It matches the Rfam family "Bacterial small subunit ribosomal RNA", at positions 524 to 776 of the family's 1533-position model. The record is from RNAcentral.